Molecule: ribosomal RNA, 497 nt
Filed under: uncultured bacterium
Lineage: Bacteria
Description: partial 16S ribosomal RNA
Rfam family: Bacterial small subunit ribosomal RNA
Source: RNAcentral
GAUGAACGCUGGCGGCGUGCCUAAUACAUGCAAGUCGAGCGAACAGACGAGGAGCUUGCUCCUCUGACGUUAGCGGCGGACGGGUGAGUAACACGUGGAUAACCUACCUAUAAGACUGGGAUAACUUCGGGAAACCGGAGCUAAUACCGGAUAAUAUAUUGAACCGCAUGGUUCAAUAGUGAAAGACGGUUUUGCUGUCACUUAUAGAUGGAUCCGCGCCGCAUUAGCUAGUUGGUAAGGUAACGGCUUACCAAGGCAACGAUGCGUAGCCGACCUGAGAGGGUGAUCGGCCACACUGGAACUGAGACAAGGUCCAGACUCCUACGGGAGGCAGCAGUAGGGAAUCUUCCGAAAUGGGCGAAAGCCUGACGGAGCAACGCCGCGUGAGUGAUGAAGGUCUUCGGAUCGUAAAACUCUGUUAUUAGGGAAGAACAAAUGUGUAAGUAACUAUGCACGUCUUGACGGUACCUAAUCAGAAAGCCACGGCUAACUACGUG